Molecule: long non-coding RNA, 521 nt
Organism: Amblyraja radiata (thorny skate)
Lineage: Eukaryota; Metazoa; Chordata; Chondrichthyes; Rajiformes; Rajidae
Exons: 2
Source: RefSeq, a predicted model, not a curated record
UAAAAGCUGCACAGAUCCUUGCCCUCACUACCAAUAUAGAGGCUGGCUUCCAACGUGCCCUGAAAACUGGUGUUGCUCUCAUAGAUCCAUCCUCAGCAACCAUAGAUUUAGGGUCUCGCUUGUCAGGACCCUGAAUGAUGGUCUCCCCCAGGGCUCUGAAACAAAUCAUUUCUGCUCAGAGUUUGUAACCUGAAACAAAUCAUCAUUUUAUGGUACAAUAGUGUGUGUAGGUGCAGUAGUUAUGCAAUGGAAACUAUUUGAACAUGCCAACAUUUUACAUUUAUUUGUGAUCUGUCAAAGACAAAUUGUAAAGCCAAGAAGACAACAGGGGAUAGGGAUAAGUUGUGUGCUUAGAUUGUUUAAAGUCCUCUUCAUGUGUUCUAAUAAUUCUGUGCUUUAAGGAAGGUUGAAACCGCAUGCGUAAAUGACAUUCACUGCUGUCUACUUUAGUCAGAUUCUGUUCUCUAUUGCCAAAGGACUAAUGACAAUCGUAAAACAAUAAAAUAAGGUUGAAAGGGUAA